GAUGAACGCUGGCGGCGUGCCUAAUACAAGCAAGUCGAGCGAACAGACGAGGAGCUUGCUCCUCUGACGUUAGCGGCGGACGGGUGAGUAACACGUGGAUAACCUACCUAUAAGACUGGGAUAACUUCGGGAAACCGGAGCUAAUACCGGAUAACAUGUUGAACCGCAUGGUUUAACAGUGAAAGACGGUCUUGCUGUCACUUAUAGAUGGAUCCGCGCCGCAUUAGCUAGUUGGUAAGGUAACGGCUUACCAAGGCAACGAUGCGUAGCCGACCUGAGAGGGUGAUCGGCCACACUGGAACUGAGACACGGUCCAGACUCCUACGGGAGGCAGCAGUAGGGAAUCUUCCGCAAUGGGCGAAAGCCUGACGGAGCAACGCCGCGUGAGUGAAGAAGGUCUUCGGAUCGUAAAACUCUGUUAUUAGGGAAGAACAAAUGUGUAAGUAACUAUGCACGUCUUGACGGUACCUAAUCAGAAAGCCACGGCUAACUACGUG
This 497-nucleotide ribosomal RNA is filed under the name uncultured bacterium. RNAcentral describes it as "partial 16S ribosomal RNA". It matches the Rfam family "Bacterial small subunit ribosomal RNA", at positions 28 to 507 of the family's 1533-position model. The record is from RNAcentral.